This 356-nucleotide transfer-messenger RNA is filed under the name Rugositalea oryzae. RNAcentral's name for it is "Rhodoplanes sp. Z2-YC6860 Alphaproteobacteria transfer-messenger RNA". It matches the Rfam family "Alphaproteobacteria transfer-messenger RNA". Rfam says of the family: Bacterial tmRNA, also known as 10Sa RNA or SsrA, is named for its dual tRNA and mRNA-like properties. Its role is to liberate the mRNA from a stalled ribosome. To accomplish this part of the tmRNA is used as a reading frame that ends in a translation stop signal. Lineage: Bacteria; Pseudomonadati; Pseudomonadota; Alphaproteobacteria; Hyphomicrobiales; Nitrobacteraceae. The record is from Rfam by way of RNAcentral.
GCUCUUUUUUCCUCAACCUUCUGGGCUUAUAUUCAGUGCGCCGGCGCAAGCCGGAUAUGGCGAUAAACGGCCGUUGCAAUAAACCUUUCGGACCCGGGGGCAGUACCCGGCGGCUCCACCCAAACCCGGCGGGAACGGGUUUCGGCGGGGCCGAACUAGGAUCGACGAGGGUGUAAAGAGCGCGCUUUUGCCCGUUAUGGUUCCGUCGUUAUCGGGCCAUUCCAUAGUUGCCAACGACAACUAUGCUCCGGUUGCUCAAGCCGCGUAAUGCGGUUUGAAACACCGAACUUAAAGUCCUAACGGGUUAAGCUCCGUUAGGCGGGGUCCGGAGGCACCUGGCAACAGAAGCCUCCACU